AGUAACACGUGAGUAAUCUGCCCUUGGCUUUGGGAUAACUACCGGAAACGGGUGGCUAAUACCGGAUAUGACCAUGCUCGGCAUCGGGUGUGGUGGAAAAGUUUUUUCGGCCAGGGGAUGUGCUCGCGGCCUAUCAGCUUGUUGGUGGGGUAAUGGCCUACCAAGGCUUCGACGGUAGCCGGCCUGAGAGGGUGACCGGCCACACUGGGACUGAGACACGGCCCAGACUCCUACGGGAGGCAGCAGUGGGGAAUAUUGGACAAUGGGCGGAAGCCUGAUCCAGCAACGCCGCGUGAGGGAUGACGGCCUUCGGGUUGUAAACCUCUUUCAGUACCGACGAAGCGCCGAUGAUGGUGGUGACGGUAGGUACAGAAGAAGCACCGGCCAACUACGUG
Molecule: ribosomal RNA, 395 nt
Filed under: uncultured bacterium
Lineage: Bacteria
Description: bacterial SSU rRNA
Rfam family: Bacterial small subunit ribosomal RNA
Source: RNAcentral